Long non-coding RNA from Cavia porcellus (domestic guinea pig), 1530 nucleotides. RefSeq lists it as uncharacterized. Lineage: Eukaryota; Metazoa; Chordata; Mammalia; Rodentia; Caviidae. The transcript is spliced from 3 exons. The record is from RefSeq and is a predicted model, not a curated record.
CGCAGGCCCGGGGCAUCCAGCCGCGCGCCCAGCCCCGCCGCCGCCUCGGCGCCUCCUAGCAGCCCCUCAGCAUCCCCGCCCUGCCCGCAGCGCCCGCCAGGCCCCGGCCGCCGCGCUCGCUCGGGACGGACUCGGGAAGAAACUGGAAAAAUCAAGAAGCAAGCAAGCAAUAAAAAAGCAAAAUUACAGCAACAAAAAAUAAUAAUGAUAUAGGAUUUCAAAAAAAGAUGAUUCUACCCUCGACUUUGAAAAUGUAGAAGUAAGACUGUCCCCUAAGAAGAUCCUAAGAAAUAAAGACACAAUAAUCCAGAACACGGAUCUACAAAAUGAAGUUAAUGUAGUUCACACCAGCAUCUUCCUCAGCAGCAUGGAACGUAAGUAAUGUGAAAAGCAUCCUUAAUAACUCACCUCCCUCUCUCCCAGCACCACACCCUAGCUUGCCUCACAGACACCAAACUGCUGUGAGACUAGUGAGAUUCUGGUCAGUAACUGGCUGAAGCUAUCAACUCCUCAAAGCAAGGACACUGUCACUUGGCAGUGGGUCCCGUGACCCACAGAAGCAUUAAGGAGAGAUAAAAGAGGCAGUGCCCACAUAAACAUUGUCUGCUAGGGGUUAGCCUGGCUUGGGAACCUGGAAAUCAGAAACCAGGCACAAGGCUCCUGCAUGGGAAAAUGUUGACAAACAUUUAUGACAUUAACCACUAUGGUUACCCAACUGGCUUCGUGGACUUAACUCUGGUCAAAUGAUCAGCAUGCAAAUUUUUGAUCAUAAAUUAGCUUCCCAGCAUGAUUUACCUACAGGAGAAAAAAAAAAAGGCGCUAAUCACCGAAAGGCAUGUAUUUGGUUCACUGGGUAAUAUCUUUUUCAUUCUGUACAGGUAACAGUUUUGGUUUAAGACAGUUUCUCAUGACUUUUGAUUAACAAGUAUCCAUUUUCUUAAAGCUUAAUCUAUGCUGGGCACACUAACAAGUGAACUUCCCAUUCUGCAAGAGUGAUUUUCUGAGUGAAAUGCUUUCUGGGUGGGGUUCCUGGAGCACCAAUCCUCUGGCCUCCUCAGGAACCUCCCUCUGCUUUAAGAUGUACCUUCUGAGAACUGCCAUGAACUGUUACAUAAACUGGGUACUUCCGGUCGUAAAAGAAGGAGGAAUCACUGGAAAUUUAUUUAUAUGCAAUUUUACCCCCUCCUUGUCAGUAGCCCCUUAAUACAAAUCUUUUGAAGCCAUGAUGAACUACACACCUCUGAUUAUGGCAGUCUUUUCCUUCUCUAAGAAUUACAGGUGACAUAUUUUGCUCUUUUUGAAAUAUAGGGCCGGAGGUUUAGCUUAGCAGCACAAGCACCUGCCUGGCCAAGCAUGAGGUCAUGAGUUUGAUCCUCGGUACCCCACCGCCAAAUACAUUAAAUUUUUUUCUCACAAUUUCUCAAAGACCCUGGAGUGCCACAAACCAAAACAUCAGAUCACAAUAUUAUAGGAGGUCAAAAUAUUCUUUGUUAAUCUGAGUAAAUGCCAAGUGAGUGUUUCCUGUAUUAA